GGAGACGGCGGAGGGGUGGGGAGAGAUACAAGGCAGCUCCCCUGCCCCGUGGGGUAAGGGAGGGUGAGGGGGCUGCCCUGCCCAGCGGCCAGUGGGGAUUGUUCCCCUACAAAUGGUCAGACCAGCAGUGGGGGAUGGGCAGGGUGACCGUCCCUCUCGAACUGGGCAGGACAGUCCUGAAGUGCAGAGUUCAAGUCCUGGUCCUGGGCUGAAGGACUCCCGACACCAUUUGUCCCGGAUUCCCUGCGCCAGGGCUCUGCGCCUGCCCGAGGCUCCGGGGCAGCGCCAGCCUGUUCCCCAUGGGUGGGAUUGAGGUGGGACCCCCCUUGGCCUCGAGCCCUCGCCCCCUGCUCCUCCUCUUCCCUGCCCCCUGGCCAACCAGAAGCUAGAUCCAGGCCAUAAUAAGAGCUGCCCCGUCUGCAGUGGGGAGUCCCAGACUCUCCGCCUGCCCUGGGGGGCCGGCAGAUGGGCCGGGGGAUGCUGUGGGCACUGGGGUUGCCAGCUUGCUAAUUCCAGCCCCCCCCCCCCCUUCCGAUGAUGCAUCCGAUGAAGUGAGCUGUAGCUCACGAAAGCUUGUGCUCAAAUAUAUUGGUUAGUCUCUAAGGUGCCACAAGUACUCCUUUUCUUCUUGCGAAUACAGACUAACAUGGCUGCUACUCUGAAAUCUUUCUCCACACACUUUCUCAGGCCCGACGGGGGAGGUGCUGGCACAGGAGUCGCCACAGGGCCCCGAGAUAGGCAGUCUUGUGUCAGGGCCGGCCUCAGGGAAAAUGGCACCCUGGGUGAACUUGCAUUUUGGUGCCUCUGACCCCCGUGGGCAUGGAGCACCCUCACCCCAGUUGCCUCCCUAACCUCCCUUCACCCCAAUCCCUGCACUGAGCCCCCUUUGUCCCUAACCCUGCCCCCUCCUGCACGCUAACCUCUACAUUGUGCCCCCUUCACCCCAACUCCUACCCCCCUCCUUGCCCCUAAGCUCUGCAUCCCCUUCCUGCACCCACAUGGGGAAACUGACCUGGAUGCAGGGAUGGAGCAGCUGGCAUUGCUGCUCGCUCCCCCACUGGACUGAUGCUCCUUUGCCCCGCACCCCCCUAGGGGGCUGUGAGCAGGGGGAGCGAGGUCGGGGCUCCCUGCACGCACGUCACGUUCCCUGCCUGGGCUGUGUCAGGAGAGCAGGAGCUCCUGAUGCUGAUCUCAUCGCACUCUCUUUAAGAAAGCACCCAGGGUCGGUCACGCACCUGAAGUGCUGCCCUUCCCUCCAGCAGCCCCAUUCCCAGCACUCGGAGACGAAGAUCUAUACCUCAAACUCCUGGUGCUGGUGAUGGGACGACAGACUGCGAGGUCGCUGCAUGGCACAUGCCGCAACUGGAGCCCAGCCACACGAGGAGAAGAUGCCCGGCAGCGGAGGCAGAAGUGCGUGCCGUGACCCCUCAACAGCCGCCUGCUGAGUGCUUGCGAGUGGGGCUAGUUCGUCCCUUGCCCUGACCCAGCCGGCCACUGGGAGCUGCGUCUGCGGGCGGGAGCUGGGGGCAGCACGCAGAACCCCCUGGCCGCCCCUAAGCCUAGGAGCCAGACAUACCAGGUGCUUCCCCUGAGCCGCAUGUCGCGGAGGCUAGCAGGGAGCCAGCCAGCCCUGCUGCGCAGCACCAGUCUACGGCCCGGUUAGCGGUGCUGACUAGAGCCUCCAAGAUCCCUUUUCAAGCGGGUGUUCCAGUCCAAAAUCAGACAUCUGGUCACCCUAAUCGGCCCUCCAGCCCCCUGCCAAGGGCAGGUGGAGGGUCUGGGGCUCCCUGCAGUAGCCCAGGCUCCCUGUGCAGGUGUUAUUACAGCUGGACUUCUGGCCUGGCCAGGAGACAGGGUCUCAGAGGAAAGAGGUGGAGCAGGGGGCGUAGCCUCAGGGAGAGGAGGGGCGGGGCUCCUGCAUGUUUCCCACUUUUGCCUUUAGAAAAGCUGAUCACCCAGAGAUAGGGGGCGGGCAGAAGAUUUACCUAGGAGGGCUGAGAAUUUACCAGGCAAAUGUCCACCCAGAAUCGCCACACACACCCCGCUCCCAAUUUCAUGUUUGUGUUUAAAAACAAUCUUCUUAUUUGAGGGGUCUGUCUCCUGGGUUGACAGCACUGAACAGGGGCUGGUCUGAUUUCUGCUCAGGAUUCGGUGUCCAACCAGAGUCACUGCGAGCCACAAGGAGUGGAAUUGGGGUUUGGUUCGGGUUCAGUGGCAGAAGGGGGAGGGGGUUGGGAGUGAGCCCUGUGGCUUGCUUCAGUGGGGAACUGAAUUUGGGGCCUGGGGCCUGCCUCAGCUGGGGCAGUUGGAGGGAGGAGCUGCCCCAAGGGGUGGGGACAGGUGAGAGGAGGCCUGUCUAAGGGGAAGAAGAAUUGAGCAGCCUUUUCCCUUGGGCUUGAAGAGUUAAUGUUAACUUCUGGGACAGGGAGCCCCACUUCUCUCCCCCCUCCCUCCCUGCUCCUGUGGGCUGCCCCCUUCUCUUCUCCUACUGGGACAGGCCGUACCGGUAGCGAUCACAUGCCUGGGUGUUGUUUUGUUGUCUUGUUUUACCCUGAGUGAGAUCAGAGUAGGUUUUAUUUUAUUUUGUCAAAUAUUGAGCUGAAAAACUGCUGAAACUUCAUUUCAACAGGUAGCCAUUUUUUUUCCAAGUUCAAUUCAGAUUCACUGAGGAAGAGGGGAAAUACUGGUUUGAGUCUGGUUCCAGGUCAGUUGAGCAUAUCGGUUCAACCUGGUUCUGUUCUGUUCUGGUGUGAGUCCAGGUGGGCCAAUGAAAUCCGCAGCUGCUGAAUUGUCUCAGAAGGAGGGUUGGGGGACUGGUUACUGCUAAGGCAGAGAAGGCUGGUGUCUAUUUCUGUCUGCUCAUGAUUAAGGCUGCGAGUUUGUCACGGAGGUCAUGGAAGCUAGAAGCUUAGGGAGGGAAGAUGUCGCUGCUUCUGAGAAGCCAGGUAGGAAGCCUGCGAGCCCUGUCAACCCCGCCCUCCAGCACCAGCGGGGAUCCUGGGCUGCUCCCACCCGAGCACCCACAGCGCCCCCUAGACCAUCCCCCUGAGCACCCGCGGAGCCCCCCACCGCCACUAACUCCCAGCACCCGUGGUGCCCCCCGGGCCACUCCCGCCCACAAGCACCUGCGGCACUCCCAAGAGUUAGUGAGCAGUACAGUACAAGUCAUGGACAGGUCACGAGCCAUGAAGUUUUGUUUACAGCAUGUGACCUGUCCCUGAGUUUUACUAAAAAUAUCCAUGACUCUGCAGUGUGAUCUGGGGCCCAGACUGAGCAGCAGCUGCUUCCCCAGCGGGGUCUGUGCCAAGGAGAGACCUUCAUUAACCCCCCUCUGUGUCCAAGACGGGGUACGGGACGGACUGACAACUUUCUCCGGUGGCUGGAACCAGCUCCUAGGGUAGCCCCGGGCUCUGCUGGCACCAGCCCCUGAGCCAGAACAUGCAGGUGACUGGGAGAGACCCCGGGGGAAAGGGCUGGGGCCGGGCAGGAAGGUGACUCUGCACAACAGGCCCCUUUCAGGGACCUGCUGGCUGAGGAAUCACGUCCACGUUUUGCUCCAGAUCCUCCCGUCUUCCAGGGGACAGGGAAGGGAAAUGGCUGUGAAGGAGCCAGCUCAGCUAGUCAAUCGCCCGAGUGUCAUCACCCUGCCUGCUGGCUGGGCAGGGUAACUCCUGAGGUCACCACCCUCUCCAGCCUGCCUUGGGCUUGGAGAGUGAGGAGGAGGGUGAGGGACGUCUGCUGACCCUGAACAUCCGCCAUCCAUCAUCCCAUCACCGAGAGCAAGGUUUCACACCGAGCAGGUUCACGUGGGUUGCGCUCUGAACGGCCAGGCCCUCGUGGACCCGAGGUUCCAGUACGCCUACGAUGGGAGGGACUUCAUCAGCUUUGAUGAUCAGACGGGGACGUGGGUCGCGGCCGAACAGGCGGCCUUCCCUCAGAAGCAGAGCUGGGAGAUGGGCAAGACGCGGGCUCAGUACGUCCGGUGGUACCUGAAACAAGAGUGUCUGGACACCCUGCAGAGCCUGGUGCAGCAGGGGAGUGGGGUCCUGCGGCAGCAGGGUGAGUGAGCCUGCAAGGAGCUAGCAGGGGGUGCGGGAGGGGCACAGUCACACCAAUGGGACUUAGGUACAGAGGUGCCGACUUCCCAAUGCUCCAGGGGAUGCUCGACCCCCACUCUGACCCAGGCCCUCCCCCCACUCCACCCCUUCCUGCCUCACCUCUUCCCACACCCACUCCGCCCCCCACUCCAACCCCUCUGCCUCUCCCCACCCUGUUCCACCCCUUC
Molecule: long non-coding RNA, 4285 nt
Organism: Chelonia mydas (Green sea turtle)
Lineage: Eukaryota; Metazoa; Chordata; Testudines; Cheloniidae
Exons: 4
Source: RefSeq, a predicted model, not a curated record